UAUAAGCAAGUCCAACGAAGGGAGGAAGAGUUUGCUCUUCCAAAGGGCGUGGUGGACGGGUUAGUAACACGUGGGCAACCUGCCUGUAGGUUGGGGAUACCUCCGGGAAACCGGGGCUAAUACCGAAUGAUAAAGUGUGGCGCAUUUCAUGCUUUUGAAAGAUGGUUUCGGCUAUCGCUUACAGAUGGGGCCGCGGUGCCCCAGCUAGUUGGUAGGGUAAUGGCCUACCAAGGCAACGAUGCAUAGCCGACCUGAGAGGGUGAUCGGCCACACUGGGACUGAGCCACGGCCCAGACUCCCACGGGAGGCAGCAGUAGGGAAUCUUCCGCAAUGGACGAAAGUCUGACGGAGCAACGCCGCGUGUAUGAAGAAGGUUGGCGGAUCGUAAAGUACUGUUGUUAGAGAAGAACAAGGAUAAGAGUAACUGCUUGUCCCUUGACGGUAUCUGGCCAGAAAGCCACGGCUAACUACGUGCCAGCAGCCGCGGUAAUACGUAGGUGGCAAGCGUUGUCCGGAUUUAUGCGGCGUAAAGCGCGCGCAGGCGGUCUUUUAAGUCUGAUGUGAAAGCCCCCGGCUUAACCGUUGAGGGUGCUUGGAAACUGGAAGACUGGAGUGCAGAAGAGGAGAGUGGAAUUCCACGUGAUUGUGUAGGUGAACCAGAUAUGAUGGAAACACGCAGUGGCGAAGGCGACUCUCUGGUCUGUAACUGACGCUGAGGCGCGAAAGCGUGGGGAGCAAAUAGGAUUAGAUACCCUGGUAGUCCACGCCGUAAACGAUGAGUGCUAAGUGUUAGGGGGUUUCCGCCCCUUAGUGCUGCAGCUAACGCAUUAAGCACUCCGCCUGGGGAGUACGACCGCAAGGUUGAAACUCAAAGGAAUUGACGGGGGCCCGCACAAGCGGUGGAGCAUGUGGUUUAAUUCGAAGCAACGCGAAGAACCUUACCAGGUCUUGAAAACCUUUGACCACUCUGGAGACAGAGCUUUCCCUUCGGGGACAAAGUGUCAGGUGGUGCGUGGUUGUCGUCAGCUCGUGUCGUGAGAUGUUGGGUUAAGUCCCGCAACUAGCGCAACCCUUGAUUUUAGUUGCCAGCAUUUAGUUGGGCAAAAUAAAGUGACUGCCGGUGCAAGCCGGAGGAAGGUGGGGAUGACGUCAAAUCAUCAUGCCCCUUAUGACCUGGGCUACACACGUGCUACAAUGGAUAGUACAAUCGAACGCGAAGCCGCGAGGUGGAGCUAAUCCCAUAAAACUAUUCUCAGUUCGGAUUGUAGGCUGCAACUCGCCUACAUGAAGCCGGAAUCGCUAGUAAUCGUGGAUCAGCAUGCCACGGUGAAUACGUUCCCGGGCCUUGUACACACCGCCCGUCACACCACGAGAGUUUGUAACACCCGAAGUCGGUAGGGUAACCUUUAUGGAGCCAGCCGCCGAAGGUGGGACAGAUAAUUGGGGUGAAGUCGUAACAAGGUAGCCGUAUCGGAAGGUGCCGCAUGUGACCAAUCCUUUCUGGUUAGAUACCGUC
Molecule: ribosomal RNA, 1516 nt
Filed under: Listeria monocytogenes
Lineage: Bacteria; Bacillati; Bacillota; Bacilli; Caryophanales; Listeriaceae
Description: bacterial SSU rRNA
Rfam family: Bacterial small subunit ribosomal RNA
Source: RNAcentral